RNAcentral lists this long non-coding RNA (222 nucleotides) under Lathyrus oleraceus (garden pea). RNAcentral describes it as "Pisum sativum (pea) long non-coding RNA (PSAT_LNC002056)". The record is from RNAcentral. Lineage: Eukaryota; Viridiplantae; Streptophyta; Magnoliopsida; Fabales; Fabaceae.
UUGUUCCAGACCUUCCACUACGGCUCGUAGCAGGUGCUAUGGGUGGCCAUAGUGGGCUCCUAUUUGGGAUGUAUUUUUGAUCUGUUCAGCCCUCUCUGCUACGGCCAUAGCAGGUGCUAUAGGUGGCCGUAGGAGGCCUACUAAAGCGUGGGAAAACUUCUCCGAUUCUUUGUGAUUCUCCUUGGCUUCUACAUCCGAUUGUACUUGAAUAUCUAUUUGAAC